This 1519-nucleotide long non-coding RNA is filed under the name Olea europaea subsp. europaea. Lineage: Eukaryota; Viridiplantae; Streptophyta; Magnoliopsida; Lamiales; Oleaceae. The record is from RNAcentral.
GAUUGCCCGAGUCUGAAGCUACUUGGGAGAAUGAGGGAGAUCUAUGGCAAUUUGAGUCAGAGCUUCAGAAUUACAUGGCGACGAGGGCGUCGCCAAAUUCGGUGGGGGAGUGACUUACGCCCCACGCGGUCGCGUUCGAUCCAUCCCGGUAGUGGCCGCAAAAUAGCGUGAACCGCACGCUGCAAUAGGAUGGAAUGGGCAGAAUGCAGGCUGCCUAAAAUGGUGCAACUUUUCGGGACUUUCAUGAGGUUUUUCUAGAUCCCGACCCCGCCAUUUUGGAGGAAAAAUACAUGAACCUGCAGCGGGAUAUUUUGGGGUGCAAGUAGGCAACUUGCACAACUUGUCCACUUGUGCCACUUGCAAGAUAUUACCAAAGAUAUGAGCUAAGCGCGAGUUGGCGAAGAUAUUAUCAAAGGUGCAAGCUAAGCACGAGUUGGCAAGAAUAAUAUCUUCUAUGCAAGCUAAGAUCGAGUUGGCGACAACUUGCAAGGAAAGUUGUAAACAAAUCCACUUGAUGACAACUAAGAACGAGUUGUAAACAACUAAGCAUAGGUUGUAAAGUAAGGCCACUUGAUCUUAAGGAGGUUUAAGUUUUGCCUAUAAAUAGAGGUAGAAAUCUCAUUUGUAAAUCAUGUAGAGUUGAGUGAAUUUAUUCCUUAGAGAGAUUGUAAAGUUUUCCCUUUCAUAUAUACAAAGAAAGUUUCCCGACCUUACUUGUUUUUCAUAUAUCCUUUACUUCAAAAUUCUCCUCUCAACGUGGGUAUAAUUUAGCCUCCUUGGUUAAAUUAUUUGUGAGCGUGAAAAGGCUGACUUAACGUUUUCUCGUGAGGCGCGGGAAUUGUCAAGCGUUAAGGCCGCACGGUUCUAGUUGUUCGGGUGUAACGAAACUAGGUCCGUGACAAGUAGCUCUUUGAGAUCAAAUAGUGCAUAGAUCUCAUUCAAGGGAUAGAUCUGAGCACAAAUGAAGGUCACGAUCUUGUUGGUUGUCCAACAGGUCAUGAUCCCAUUCACGAUCUAAACACAUCUUUUUGUAUAAUACGCUCCAAAAGGUUAAAAUCUCGUUCACACUUUCGCAGAUACACAUUGAAGCAUUGUAAGUGCUUAUAAGCCUGCUCUUUCAAGUAUUUCUCCAAAAUAAAAUAUAAAAAACACACAUAAAUUUUUGAGAAGCUAUCCCAAUUUUAGUUUGCUACUGAAUAUUUUUUCACUCCCAAAAUGCAAUCUUGAAUCUAUUUAAGGUGUUGUUUUCAAUCGGUUGCUUAUUCAUAUUUCUGGCCUUCGUGUUGAGUUGAUUGAGAAGUGAGAUGUUUUACAUGAAUCAUGAGUCCACAUAUUGCUGAGAAUAUGGUAAUGAUUUUCCUUGAAUUGAAAACCCCAUUAUGACACUGUUGUGUAUUUAGGCAUUUAUAGUUUUGGCAAUUUGUUUAUUAUGUGAUGCAAUCUGGUUAUGCAGGUGACAAAGAACAUAAUGAUGACUGCCAAAAAAUUCUUAGAUUUGUGGAAAUACCUAUGAUUGAGG